AUGAUCUUGCGUGUGCGUAGGAAAUUUUUUGAAAUUACUACGUUCCCCAAGAGAAGGCCUAUGGGUCGUUAACUUCUUUUCUCGGAGAAGAAAUAAUAACGGUAUCUGAGGAAUAAGCAUCGGCUAACUCUAUGCCAGCAGCCGCGGUAAGACAGAGGAUGCAAGCGUUAUCCGGAAUGAUUGGGCGUAAAGCGUCUAUAGGUGGAUUUUCAAGUCCUCCAUCAAAUCCCAGGGCUCAACCCUGGACAGGCGGUGGAAACUACCAAGCUGGAGUACGGUAGGGGCAUAGAGAAUUUCCGGUGGAGCGGUGAAAUGCAUUGAGAUCGAGAAGAACACUAUAGGAUCGAAAGUAUGUCUAGAGGGGGUGAUUAGACUACUUGACCAAUUAAAAAUCUAUCCUUUUCCCAAUUUUAGUCUUU
Molecule: non-coding RNA, 419 nt
Filed under: Triticum aestivum (bread wheat)
Lineage: Eukaryota; Viridiplantae; Streptophyta; Magnoliopsida; Poales; Poaceae
Also listed under: 1 other name
Description: Bacterial small subunit ribosomal RNA
Rfam family: Bacterial small subunit ribosomal RNA
Source: Rfam by way of RNAcentral